RNAcentral lists this ribosomal RNA (464 nucleotides) under uncultured bacterium. Its description in RNAcentral is "partial 16S ribosomal RNA". It matches the Rfam family "Bacterial small subunit ribosomal RNA", at positions 28 to 507 of the family's 1533-position model. The record is from RNAcentral.
GACGAACGCUGGCGGCGUGCCUAACACAUGCAAGUCGAGCGAAUGAAGUUCCUUCGGGAAUGGAUUUAGCGGCGGACGGGUGAGUAACACGUGGGCAACCUGCCUCAUAGAGGGGAAUAGCCUCCCGAAAGGGAGAUUAAUACCGCAUAAGAUUGUAGUACCGCAUGAUACAGCAAUUAAAGGAGCAAUCCGCUAUGAGAUGGGCCCGCGGCGCAUUAGCUAGUUGGUGAGGUAAUGGCUCACCAAGGCGACGAUGCGUAGCCGACCUGAGAGGGUGAUCGGCCACAUUGGGACUGAGACACGGCCCAGACUCCUACGGGAGGCAGCAGUGGGGAAUAUUGCACAAUGGGGGAAAACCUGAUGCAGCAACGCCGCAUGAGUGAUGACGGCCUUCGGGUUGUAAAGCUCUGUCUUCAGGGACGAUAAUGACGGUACCUGAGGAGGAAGCCACGGCUAACUACGUG